CCUACGGGAGGCAGCAGUAAGGAAUAUUGGACAAUGCCCGCAAGGGUGAUCCAGCCAUGCCGCGUGCAGGAAGAAGGACCUAUGGUUUGUAAACUGCUUUUGUACAAGAGAAAACCCCCUUACGUGUAAGGGGCUGAUAGUAUUGUAAGAAUAAGCAUCGGCUAACUUCGUGCCAGCAGCCGCGGUAAGACGAAGGAUGCAAGCGUUAUCCGGAUUCAUUGGGUUUAAAGGGUGCGUAGGCGGUUUGGUAAGUCAGUGGUGAAAGCCCUCAGCUUAACUGAGGAACUGCCAUUGAUACUGCUGAACUUGAGUGCAGUUGCUGUGGGCGGAAUAUGGCAUGUAGUGGUGAAAUACUUAGAGAUGCCAUAGAACACCGAUUGCGAAGGCAGCUCACAAAGCUGUAACUGACGCUGAGGCACGAAAGUGCGGGGAUCAAACAGGAUUAGAUACCCUAGUAGUC
This 460-nucleotide ribosomal RNA is filed under the name uncultured bacterium. Its description in RNAcentral is "bacterial SSU rRNA". It matches the Rfam family "Bacterial small subunit ribosomal RNA", at positions 338 to 795 of the family's 1533-position model. The record is from RNAcentral.